RNAcentral lists this ribosomal RNA (942 nucleotides) under Calonarius lilacinovelatus. RNAcentral's name for it is "Cortinarius lilacinovelatus partial large subunit ribosomal RNA". It matches the Rfam family "Eukaryotic large subunit ribosomal RNA", at positions 34 to 963 of the family's 3401-position model. Lineage: Eukaryota; Fungi; Basidiomycota; Agaricomycetes; Agaricales; Cortinariaceae. The record is from RNAcentral.
CUAGCAUAUCAAUAAGCGGAGGAAAAGAAACUAACAAGGAUUCCCCUAGUAACUGCGAGUGAAGCGGGAAAAGCUCAAAUUUAAAAUCUGGCAGUCUUUGGCUGUCCGAGUUGUAAUCUAGAGAAGCAUUAUCCGCGCUGGACCGUGUACAAGUCUCCUGGAAUGGAGCGUCAUAGAGGGUGAGAAUCCCGUCUUUGACACGGACUGCCAGGGCUUUGUGAUGUGCUCUCAAAGAGUCGAGUUGUUUGGGAAUGCAGCUCAAAAUGGGUGGUAAAUUCCAUCUAAAGCUAAAUAUUGGCGAGAGACCGAUAGCGAACAAGUACCGUGAGGGAAAGAUGAAAAGAACUUUGGAAAGAGAGUUAAACAGUACGUGAAAUUGCUGAAAGGGAAACGCUUGAAGUCAGUCGCGUUGUCCAGGAAUCAAUCUUGCUUUUGCUUGGUGUACUUUCUGGUUAACGGGUCAGCAUCAAUUUUGACUGUUGGAAAAAGAUUGAGGGAAUGUGGCAUCUUCGGAUGUGUUAUAGCCCUUGGUUGUAUACAAUAGUUGGGAUUGAGGAACUCAGCACGCCGCAAGGCCGAGCUUUUGCUACGUUACGUGCUUAGGAUGCUGGCAUAAUGGCUUUAAUCGACCCGUCUUGAAACACGGACCAAGGAGUCUAACAUGCCUGCGAGUGUUUGGGUGGAAAACCCGAGCGCGCAAUGAAAGUGAAAGUUGAGAUCCCUGUCGUGGGGAGCAUCGACGCCCGGACUUGACCUUUUGUGACGGUUCCGCGGUAGAGCAUGUAUGUUGGGACCCGAAAGAUGGUGAACUAUGCCUGAAUAGGGUGAAGCCAGAGGAAACUCUGGUGGAGGCUCGUAGCGAUUCUGACGUGCAAAUCGAUCGUCAAAUUUGGGUAUAGGGGCGAAAGACUAAUCGAACCAUCUAGUAGCUGGUUCCUGCGA